GAUGAACGCUAGCGGCAGGCCUAAUACAUGCAAGUCGAACGAUACCAAGGGGCUUGCUCCUUGGAAAAGUGGCGCGCGGGUGCGUAACGCGUAUGCAACCUACCUUUAUCAGGGGGAUAGCCCGGAGAAAUCCGGAUUAAUACCGCAUAAAAUCACAGGAUGGCAUUAUCCAAUGAUCAAACAUUUAUGGGAUAAAGAUGGGCAUGCGUGUCAUUAGCUAGUUGGCGGGGUAACGGCCCACCAAGGCGACGAUGACUAGGGGAUCUGAGAGGAUGUCCCCCCACACUGGUACUGAGACACGGACCAGACUCCUACGGGAGGCAGCAGUAAGGAAUAUUGGUCAAUGGGCGGAAGCCUGAACCAGCCAUGCCGCGUACAGGAAGACUGCCCUAUGGGUCGUAAACCGCUUUUAUCCAGGAAUAAAUCUACUUACGUGUAAGUAGCUGAAUGUACCGGAAGAAUAAGGAUCGGCUAACUCCGUGCCAGCCGCCGCCGUAA
This 498-nucleotide ribosomal RNA is filed under the name uncultured bacterium. RNAcentral's name for it is "partial 16S ribosomal RNA". It matches the Rfam family "Bacterial small subunit ribosomal RNA", at positions 28 to 523 of the family's 1533-position model. The record is from RNAcentral.